RNAcentral lists this ribosomal RNA (499 nucleotides) under uncultured bacterium. RNAcentral's name for it is "partial 16S ribosomal RNA". It matches the Rfam family "Bacterial small subunit ribosomal RNA", at positions 28 to 507 of the family's 1533-position model. The record is from RNAcentral.
GACGAACGCUGGCGGCGUGCCUAAUACAUGCAAGUCGAGCGGACUUUCAAGAAGCUUGCUUUUUGAAAGUUAGCGGCGGACGGGUGAGUAACACGUGGGCAACCUGCCUGCAAGACGGGGAUAACUCCGGGAAACCGGGGCUAAUACCGGAUAAUAUCUUCCUUCGCAUGAAGGAAGGUUGAAAGGCGGCGCAAGCUGCCGCUUGCAGAUGGGCCCGCGGCGCAUUAGCUAGUUGGUGAGGUAACGGCUCACCAAGGCGACGAUGCGUAGCCGACCUGAGAGGGUGAUCGGCCACACUGGGACUGAGACACGGCCCAGACUCCUACGGGAGGCAGCAGUAGGGAAUCUUCCGCAAUGGACGAAAGUCUGACGGAGCAACGCCGCGUGAGCGAAGAAGGUCUUCGGAUCGUAAAGCUCUGUUGUCAGGGAAGGACAAGUACCGUUCGAACAGGGCGGUACCUUGACGGUACCUGACCAGAAAGCCACGGCUAACUACGUG